This 497-nucleotide ribosomal RNA is filed under the name uncultured bacterium. Its description in RNAcentral is "partial 16S ribosomal RNA". It matches the Rfam family "Bacterial small subunit ribosomal RNA", at positions 28 to 507 of the family's 1533-position model. The record is from RNAcentral.
GAUGAACGCUGGCGGCGUGCCUAAUACAUGCAAGUCGAGCGAACGGACGAUAAGCUUGCUUCUCUGAUGUUAGCGGCGGACGGGUGAGUAACACGUGGAUAACCUACCUAUAAGACUGGGAUAACUUCGGGAAACCGGAGCUAAUACUGGAUGAUAUUUUGAACCGCAUGGUUCAAAAGUGAAAGACGGUCUUGCUGUUACUUAUAGAUGGAUCCGCGCUGCAUUAGCUAGUUGGUAAGGUAACGGCUUACCAAGGCAACGAUGCGUAGCCGACCUGAGAGGGUGAUCGGCCACACUGGAACUGAGACACGGUCCAGACUCCUACGGGAGGCAGCAGUAGGGAAUCUUCCGCAAUGGGCGAAAGCCUGACGGAGCAACGCCGCGUGGGUGAUGAAGGUCUUCGGAUCGUAAAACUCUGUUAUUAGGGAAGAACAUAUGUGUAAGAAACUGUGCACAUCUUGACGGUACCUAAUCAGAAAGCAACGGCUAACUACGUG